GUACCGCUGUAGUCUGUGAUGCUACCUGAAGGGAGACCACGUCUUCCCAGAAAUCUAAUCACCAGCUGCCUACAACUUCCCCAAACACCCACCUGAACACUGUUUUACUCCUCACCACCCUCACUCUGCAGAAUCACAUGACAGCCCAACAUUGUUACUUCACCUAGUGGCAAGUAUGCAGAUCAAUUUUUUCCAUUCCCUUUCCUACCGUAGUCUUUCUGUCAGAGAUGUUUGAACCAGAGCAACUCCAUCUCGAAUACGAACUGGGUAAAAUAAGGCUGAGACCUACUGGGCUGCAUUUCCAGGUGGUUAGGCACUCUAAGUCACAGGAUGAGACAGAAGGUCGGCACAAGAUAUAGGUCACAAAGGCCUUGCUGAUAAAAUAGCAUGAGGUAAAGAAGCCAGACUAAACCCACCAAAACCAAGAUGGUGAUGAAAGUGACCUCUGGCCGUCCUCACUGCUCAUUAUACGCUAAUUAUAAUGCGUUAGCAUGCUAAAAGACACUCCCACCAGUGCCAUGACAGUUUACAAGUGCAAUGGCAAUGUCAGGAAGUUACCCUAUAUGGUCUAAAAGGGGGAGGAACCCUCAGUUCCAGGAAUUGCCCACCCCUUUCCUGGAAAUCUCAUGAAUAAUCCACCCUUUGUUUAACAUAUAAUCAGGAAAUAACCAUAAGUAUCAACAGUGGAACAGCCCACGCUGCUGCUCUGCCUAUGGAGCAGCCAUUCUUUAUUCCCUUACUUUCUUAACAAACUCGCUUUCACUUUACGGAUUCAACUGUAAUUCUUUCUUGUGUGAGAUCCAAGAACCUUCUUGUAGGGUCUGGAUUGGGACCCUUUUCUGGUAACAUCUUCCUGGUGACCAUGAAGGGACAAUAUUGAAGAGACCCCUGACCCUAAGGAAAUAGACUGCAGCACCAAUGGGCCAACUUUGGUGAUCUCUGGCUGCUGCUCAGAAGAAACAAGAGGGAGGGAUGAGUAAUGUAAAACUCUGGAUCAAUAUUCUAAUUCUGAGCCUCUAUUGGAAUCAGCUAGCAACCACAUAUCAGCUUGGUUUCAACAGUUUCCCAGUUCAUGCUGCUGAGAAGUUCAGAGUCAAACCUGAAUCUCACCUCUGCAAAGAGCACAGGACUCCAUGGCAAACGUUGUAUAUACGCAAGUCAUCCCUGGCACCACCUUCAUUUACUGCACCAGGCUUUCUUCAUUGUGAUGAUGUUCUCUCUCUUUUCUAAAAAAAAAAAAAAAAAAAAAAAAAAAAAAAAAUCCU
Molecule: long non-coding RNA, 1265 nt
Organism: Pongo pygmaeus (Bornean orangutan)
Lineage: Eukaryota; Metazoa; Chordata; Mammalia; Primates; Hominidae
Exons: 3
Source: RefSeq, a predicted model, not a curated record